Molecule: ribosomal RNA, 253 nt
Filed under: uncultured bacterium
Lineage: Bacteria
Description: partial 16S ribosomal RNA
Rfam family: Bacterial small subunit ribosomal RNA
Source: RNAcentral
UACGUAGGGUGCAAGCGUUGUCCGGAAUUAUUGGGCGUAAAGAGCUCGUAGGCGGUUUGUUGCGUCGGCUGUGAAAUCCCGAGGCUCAACCUCGGGUCUGCAGUCGAUACGAGCAAACUAGAGUGUUGCAGGGGAGACUGGAAUUCCCGGUGUAGCGGUGAAAUGCGCAGAUAUCGGGAGGAACACCCGUAGCGAAGGCGGCACUCUGGGCCGUGACUGACGCUGAGGAGCGAAAGCGUGGGGAGCAAACAGG